This 467-nucleotide ribosomal RNA is filed under the name uncultured bacterium. RNAcentral describes it as "partial 16S ribosomal RNA". It matches the Rfam family "Bacterial small subunit ribosomal RNA", at positions 28 to 506 of the family's 1533-position model. The record is from RNAcentral.
GACGAACGCUGGCGGCGUGCUUAACACAUGCAAGUCGAACGGAAAGGCCCUGCUUUUGUGGGGUGCUCGAGUGGCGAACGGGUGAGUAACACGUGAGUAACCUGCCCUUGACUUUGGGAUAACUUCAGGAAACUGGGGCUAAUACCGGAUAGGAGCUCCUGCUGCAUGGUGGGGGUUGGAAAGUUUCGGCGGUUGGGGAUGGACUCGCGACUUAUCAGCUUGUUGGUGGGGUAGUGGCUUACCAAGGCUUUGACGGGUAGCCGGCCUGAGAGGGUGACCGGCCACAUUGGGACUGAGAUACGGCCCAGACUCCUACGGGAGGCAGCAGUGGGGAAUAUUGCACAAUGGGCGGAAGCCUGAUGCAGCAACGCCGCGUGCGGGAUGACGGCCUUCGGGUUGUAAACCGCUUUCGCCUGUGACGAAGCGUGAGUGACGGUAAUGGGUAAAGAAACACCGGCUAACUACGU